GUCGGCCAGACCAUCGCGGCGUUCACCUGAGCUAACAGGUCAGCGCCGAGGAAAGUCCGGGCUCCGCAGGGCAGGAUGGUGGGUAACGCCCACUCGGAGUAAUCCGCAGGCCAGUGCCACAGAAAACAGACCGCCCGGCUGGUCGCCAGACCGGGUAAGGGUGAAACGGUGGUGUAAGAGACCACCAGCACACCGGGUGACCGGUGUGGCUCGGCAAACCCCAUUCGGAGCAAGGUCGAACAGGAUGCGUGACCAGGGCUGCCCGCCCGAGCAUCCGGGUUGACCGCUUGAGGCCCGUGGCAACACGGGACCCAGAUGGAUGAUGGUCCACGACAGAACCCGGCUUACCGGCCGGCCCG
This 359-nucleotide RNase P RNA is filed under the name Nesterenkonia massiliensis. RNAcentral describes it as "Bacterial RNase P class A". It matches the Rfam family "Bacterial RNase P class A". From Rfam's summary of the family: Ribonuclease P (RNase P) is a ubiquitous endoribonuclease, found in archaea, bacteria and eukarya as well as chloroplasts and mitochondria. Its best characterised activity is the generation of mature 5'-ends of tRNAs by cleaving the 5'-leader elements of precursor-tRNAs. Cellular RNase Ps are ribonucleoproteins. Lineage: Bacteria; Bacillati; Actinomycetota; Actinomycetes; Micrococcales; Micrococcaceae. The record is from RNAcentral.